Molecule: ribosomal RNA, 516 nt
Filed under: uncultured bacterium
Lineage: Bacteria
Description: bacterial SSU rRNA
Rfam family: Bacterial small subunit ribosomal RNA
Source: RNAcentral
AGAGUUUGAUCCUGGCUCAGAUUGAACGCUGGCGGCAUGCUUUACACAUGCAAGUCGAACGGCAGCGGGGGCUUCGGCCUGCCGGCGAGUGGCGAACGGGUGAGUAAUACAUCGGAACGUGUCCUUAAGUGGGGAAUAACGCAUCGAAAGAUGUGCUAAUACCGCAUAUCUCUGAGGAGAAAAGCAGGGGAUCGCAAGACCUUGCGCUAAAGGAGCGGCCGAUGUCUGAUUAGCUAGUUGGUGGGGUAAAGGCUUACCAAGGCAACGAUCAGUAGUUGGUCUGAGAGGACGGCCAACCACACUGGGACUGAGACACGGCCCAAACUCCUACGGGAGGCAGCAGUGGGGAUUUUUGGACAAUGGGCGGAAGCCUGAUCCACCCCUGCCGCGUGGAUGAAAAAAGGCUUUCGGUUGAAAAGCUCUUUUAGUCCGAAAGAAAGAGUUGCAAUGAAAAAUUGUGAUUUUAGACGGGACCGACAGAAAAAGCACGGGCUAUUUACGUGCCAGCAGCCGCGG